RNAcentral lists this small RNA (99 nucleotides) under Virgibacillus sp. SK37. Its description in RNAcentral is "Guanidine-I riboswitch aptamer". It matches the Rfam family "Guanidine-I riboswitch aptamer". Rfam says of the family: This family represents a conserved RNA structure found upstream of the ykkC and yxkD genes in Bacillus subtilis and related genes in other bacteria. The function of this family is unclear although it has been suggested that it may function to switch on efflux pumps and detoxification systems in response to harmful environmental molecules. RNAcentral also lists the same sequence under 1 other name. Lineage: Bacteria; Bacillati; Bacillota; Bacilli; Caryophanales; Bacillaceae. The record is from Rfam by way of RNAcentral.
AGAAACGUUUUCUAGGGUUCCGUAACGAGGUAUGUUAGUCUGGUCCGAGAGAAAACUCACAGCUUGGCUGUGCCACGGAGGGACAAAAGCCUGGGAGAU